RNAcentral lists this ribosomal RNA (498 nucleotides) under uncultured bacterium. Its description in RNAcentral is "partial 16S ribosomal RNA". It matches the Rfam family "Bacterial small subunit ribosomal RNA", at positions 29 to 523 of the family's 1533-position model. The record is from RNAcentral.
AUUGAACGCUGGCGGCAUGCCUUACACAUGCAAGUCGAACGGUAACGCGGGGCAACCUGGCGACGAGUGGCGAACGGGUGAGUAAUGCAUCGGAACGUGCCCAGUAGUGGGGGAUAGCCCGGCGAAAGCCGGAUUAAUACCGCAUACGACCUAAGGGUGAAAGGGGGGGAUCGCAAGACCUCUCGCUAUUGGAGCGGCCGAUGUCAGAUUAGGUAGUUGGUGGGGUAAAGGCCUACCAAGCCGACGAUCUGUAGCUGGUCUGAGAGGACGACCAGCCACACUGGGACUGAGACACGGCCCAGACUCCUACGGGAGGCAGCAGUGGGGAAUUUUGGACAAUGGACGCAAGUCUGAUCCAGCCAUGCCGCGUGCGGGAAGAAGGCCUUCGGGUUGUAAACCGCUUUUGUCAGGGAAGAAAUCUUCUGGGUUAAUACCUCGGGAGGAUGACGGUACCUGAAGAAUAAGCACCGGCUAACUACGUGCCAGCCGCCGCAGUAA